GUGAGGGGGGUGACUAGUGAGGGAGGGGGUGACUAGUGACAGAAUGAGGGAGGGGGUGACUAGUGACAGAGGGAGGGAGAUGGUGACUGUCACUAGUCACCCCAUCCCUCCCUCUGUCACUAGUCACUCCCUCCCUAACUCUGUCACUAGUCAUCCCCUCCCUCACUCUGUCACCAGUCACCCCAUCCCUCCCUCUGUCACUAGUCACUCCCUCCCUAACUAGUCACCCCUCCCUCUGUCACUAGUCACACUCUCCCUCAC
Molecule: non-coding RNA, 261 nt
Organism: Pelobates cultripes (western spadefoot toad)
Lineage: Eukaryota; Metazoa; Chordata; Amphibia; Anura; Pelobatidae
Source: the annotation of a GenBank genome assembly